UACUGUUAAUCUGUUCUACACUGAAGCUAACCCUAGCUGUUCUGCUGCUCCUGGAAUCCAAAACAAUUUAUGAUUCCCAAUUCAGUAGACAUACACAGGCUGAAGUGCAACAGGUUCACUGGACCAUAACAUCAAGUUCUACUUAAUAGCAUCUCCCAAAACUGGAAGAGUGCUAAGUAUCAAGAAUGUCAAGAAUUAUUUGAUCUGGUUUAUGAGGUGUCUUGAAUAUUUUAUGUGAGCCUACUGUGUUCACUCAUAUUGAAUGUUGCCUUCCUCCACCAGGAUCCAAGAAAAUCUAUUUUAUUGCAUUUAAGAUUACUCAGGAAACAGAAAUACUAUACCAUGUGAAUGGAGAUAAAUAUAACCCUUAAUUUGCAAAGAAGAGGAAUAAAGGAAAACAAAAUCUACAUAACAUCAUCUACUGCUGACUGGUGGUUGUGUGUAAUUUUACUUUGAGAGGGUGCUGAUCAGGACGAGUUGAUUCAUCUUAUUUGAACAAGUAUUUGAUGUCUACUCCACAUCCUUCCCACUCAUGCACCACUUCAGUAUGUACUCAGAAGUUUACCUUUAGAGUUGUGGUAACAACGAAUAUGUGUAUUUCUUUACACAAAGUAAGUAAUCCACCCUGAAAUAAAAGAUUUUUUUUCUGUUCAGAGUUUGUAAAGGAAGAGGCUCUCUUCCUCAGAUAGGUUUUCUGCAAGGACAGAUAUCUUUGUUUCCUUUCUUAUCUAUUUGUGAUAACUGAUUAAUAUCCAAUGUAUUUAUUCUUGGAAUAAAAGAUUUUGUAACUGUUCACCAUUCUGAUAGACCACAUGAAAAAAAAAUCAAAUGUAUUCCAAGCAUGCACAAUUACAGACUCAGCUGAACUAUGCCACAAUACAUUUGAAUAUGUUAAUUUCUGUGUUAAAAGGUCUUUUGUCUGUUUUUAUUUUUAACCUACAAAGCAUUUUAAUAAAAUAUAACAGUUGUUGUCAAUGUGCUAUUACCAGUAAAAUGAGGCUUAACGUUUCUACA
Molecule: long non-coding RNA, 1014 nt
Organism: Coturnix japonica (Japanese quail)
Lineage: Eukaryota; Metazoa; Chordata; Aves; Galliformes; Phasianidae
Source: RefSeq, a predicted model, not a curated record